RNAcentral lists this ribosomal RNA (253 nucleotides) under uncultured prokaryote. RNAcentral's name for it is "partial 16S ribosomal RNA". It matches the Rfam family "Bacterial small subunit ribosomal RNA", at positions 525 to 777 of the family's 1533-position model. The record is from RNAcentral.
ACGGAGGGUGCAAGCGUUAAUCGGAAUUACUGGGCGUAAAGCGCACGUAGGUGGUUUGCUAAGUCAGCUGUGAAAUCCCCGGGCUCAACCUGGGCACUGCAGUUGAAACUGGCAAGCUAGAGUAGGGUAGAGGGGUGUGGGAUUUCAGGUGUAGCGGUGAAAUGCGUAGAUAUCUGAAGGAACAUCAGUGGCGAAAGCGACCUCCUGGACCAAUACUGACGCUCAGGUGCGAAAGCGUGGGGAGCAAACAGGA